ACAGGAGCAUUCAAAAGCCCACUGCCUCAGGGUCAGACGAUUCUGGGCAUGGAUGUGUCCCCCUAAUCAUAAACAGAGCUAUUACUUAUGUGGACAAAACACGCUCCAGCUGCACAGGUGCUGUGCCUGCGCCUGUAAGUGGCCCUCCAGUAACACCCGGCUGCCAGGAAACACGCACUGUUACGGGGGGAAAAUGCUUCGUGGAGAGCUGUGCUUGAACUCGGCUGAGGGUCACAUCCACUCUGCUGCUCCACUCAUGGGUUCCUAUGGAGCGACUCUAGCAGCCCCUCAGUGAUAAAGUCACAAACCUACUCACCUAAAGUGGCUGAACUAAAGAGAGAGCGAGUGAAAAAGGCAGCAAACAAAAGAGAAGGUCCUGAAAGUGUUUGACACAAAUUAUAGGCCACAGACGUAAAGACGAGAGCGAAGAGCAAACAACGAGGCCGGAAAGUGGAGGCACGCCCCCGUCUAAAAGACUUUGGAGAGAAGCUGGUGUUUUAAGUGUGGCAGACUGCUGUGACUCAUGUCUUGCCCCAGAGCACCUCCGAGCUGCUUAAAUUUGAUACCUUCUUAUCACUCCACCAAAUUGAAUUGACUUUAGAGGGGGGAAGGAAAGUCGACUGACCCACAUUUGUGACACACUUAGUUGCUCGAGCGGAAAUGGAACAUCGAGGAAGAGGGGAGUCGGAGAGGAAAAUUUGGGUGAUGGACAACAGAGUGGCGGCUUGGCAGAAAACUUUCUGAAUUCACUUCAACUCUAUAUUUACCAAUGAAGAAACAUUGAGGUCAUGUCUGCCUCUGCCAAGGCCCAACAGUCCCCUAGGAUUCAAUCAAGCUGCACCAAAUUUCACACACUCGUGGGUAUCAGCUCCCUAAAUGUGCCUGAUUUAAAAAAAAUCAUGAUACAUAAAUUACUCUUUGGGAAACUGUAGAAAAUUUUGAAAACUCCCUAUCACAAUGUCAAAGAAAUUGAAAAUAAACUCCUGGACCUGCCCCCUGAUCUGGAUCCCCACCAAAAUGUUAUCCUAAUCCUAAUCGAAUCCCAAAUUACAUGGAAAUCCAUUUAGUUGUUUUUGUUUAUUUUUGCUAACUAACUAAGAGACAGGUGAAAACAUAACCUCCUUUGUGCCGGUAACAACACUGUGAUAGUGGAUACAAAAGCCUGAGUAAAGACUUUGCUGAGGCUAAACAAGUCUGUCAGAGACUGUUCUGUUUGAAAUGUAACAUCUUCUGUUGAGGAAAAUGUUCUUUCCUGCUCUUUUAUAUUUGGUUUUGACAAGAUUUCUUUGAUUUAUUCCAACUUUUAUUCACUUUGUUCAUGUUUCUGUGUAGAGAUGUUAACAAUCUACAAUAAAGGCCAAAAUCACUCCCCUCAGAGCGUUGUUAAAACGCUCCGUGACACGAACAUUUGGAAAUGGAAAGACAGAAGCAAGAUAAUUGCGCCGAGAGUACAAAGGAAUGUGGCUUAAAAUGAGAAGCAGCAGGGCGGCAUGAAAACCCCAAACCCCUCGCUGGUGGGAAUUACAGGCCUCUUAAAUAUCAGAAGCAAAUCUAAUGUAAUUAUUUAGAUUAGUCUGCAUCAAAGCAAUCGAUGAUACAAAGUGAAAUAUGUCUGAGAGAGCUGUCGGAACCUGAGACAAGUCUAAUUCAGGGUUUUGUGGGAGUGAACACAAUAUACAGACCUCUGUUACACUCAUGUAGCUGCAAAUGAUUAACAAAGGGGGAAAAAAACUUCCUCUUUGUUCACUGUGAUUAUCUACUUACUAUCUACAUCUGUCUUUUUUUGAAGUCGUUAACUUGAACAGUCGGUCAUUUUCGUUCAGCAGCAGGACAUAAUGGGAAAUGUUCGAAAAGGCAAAAAGCCUAUAAUUGCCAGAUCAGCAAAUGGGACUUGAGUGUAAGCCCUGAUUCCUCCAGCAAAAUGAAUUAAAUAAAAUUUAUUGAGGUCUCUCGGUGAGGAUGGAAAAACCCGAAGCAUUAGUUGAGAUGAAUAGAGAGACAGAGCGGAGAGAGACAAAUGGCAGCUCUUUAUAUAUUAACAGGGCAAAAAAAUUGAUGUAGUGCGCACAUGCUCAGUGUUAUAAUAAGUAUGGCACACACUUAUAAAAGGAGUGAAAAAAUUAUGAGCUUGAAGAAGCUGUUCACGUUGAUCUUUAAUCUAACCCUGAGACAUUAAAGUUUUAUGUGAGCUUCUCUUUCUCAGAUAAGUACGAAGAGAGUGGAAUAAUCUCUACUGUAUUCUACAUAGCUACACCACAGACUGUAAAUAACGAUGGAAAAAAAGCAUACUUGUUUCAUCUUGGUCUGUUUGCCAGUUGACUGUGAAGUAAUUAUUCAUUUUUGAAACAAGACAGGUCGCAGGGAAGCUCAGCGUUUCGCACUUUGACAUUUUAUAUCUGGAUUCAUAUCUCAGCUUUGGUUAUCUGUGGAGUUUGAUCCUGAACAGUAGCAAGACCAGUGCUGCUAGUCAAGUGAACUGGUGAUUACGUACUGUAAGUCUUAUUCAGAUAUGAGCUAAUGAAAAUGUCCAGAUGAUUAGGUGUGGAGUUUACCUUUCACAUAUGAGGAACGUAGCAGGCAAUUGUCUGGGUCAGAGGCGUUCACAACAGCAGGAAAAUGUCCGGAGCAUUCAGAGUAGAGCAUGCAGGACGCUGGACAUGACGUAUAUAUUCCACUGCGGAAAGCACAGUGUUUUUUUGUGCGACGCCAGCAACCUUAUCACCUAAUGUUGUCAAAUCUCUUCUUCUUUCCACGUUGACAUCUUAAUCUGUAACUUCUACGAGUAACUUCUAUUUCAUCCUGAGAUAUUUGUAUUCUUUUUUGUGAGUUUUACAUCCGUUGUGCCAUCAGACUCUCCAGAGAAUCUCCUGCUGUUUUCUCACAUGGACUCACUCUCCAGACAUUCUACUCGGGGGCUGGCAGGAAAACUGAUUCGGAAAGCAGCAGUACAUUACUCUUAGACGUGAUUGAGAAAUUUAAACAUGUUUGUCUCCUAUAUCCAACUUGUGAUUAAAAAUCUCCUCUUCCCUUU
This is a long non-coding RNA of Hippoglossus stenolepis (Pacific halibut), 3031 nucleotides long. RefSeq lists it as uncharacterized. The record is from RefSeq and is a predicted model, not a curated record. The transcript has 3 exons. NCBI's taxonomy places the organism in Eukaryota, Metazoa, Chordata, Actinopteri, Pleuronectiformes, Pleuronectidae.